UACGAAGGGGGCUAGCGUUGUUCGGAAUCACUGGGCGUAAAGCGCACGUAGGCGGAUCUUUAAGUCAGAGGUGAAAUCCCAAGGCUCAACCUUGGAACUGCCUUUGAUACUGGGGAUCUUGAGUCCGGGAGAGGUGAGUGGAACUGCGAGUGUAGAGGUGAAAUUCGUAGAUAUUCGCAAGAACACCAGUGGCGAAGGCGGCUCACUGGCCCGGUACUGACGCUGGGGUGCGAAAGCGUGGGGAGCAAACAGG
Molecule: ribosomal RNA, 253 nt
Filed under: uncultured bacterium
Lineage: Bacteria
Description: partial 16S ribosomal RNA
Rfam family: Bacterial small subunit ribosomal RNA
Source: RNAcentral